Molecule: ribosomal RNA, 329 nt
Filed under: uncultured eukaryote
Lineage: Eukaryota
Description: partial 18S ribosomal RNA
Rfam family: Eukaryotic small subunit ribosomal RNA
Source: RNAcentral
CCCUUAGAUGUUCUGGGCUGCACGCGCGCUACACUGAUGCACUCAACGAGUUUACGACCUUGCCCGAUAGGGUUGGGUAAUCUUUUUAAAAUGCAUCGUGAUGGGGAUAGAUUAUUGCAAUUAUUAAUCUUCAACGAGGAAUUCCUAGUAAGCGCGAGUCAUCAGCUCGUGCUGAUUACGUCCCUGCCCUUUGUACACACCGCCCGUCGCUCCUACCGAUUGAAUGGUCCGGUGAAGCGUUCGGACCGUGGCCUUUGGACGGUUCGCCGUCUGUUGGCUGCGGGAAGUUCGUUAAACCUUAUCAUUUAGAGGAAGGAGAAGUCGUAACA